GAUGAAGAAUGUAGCGAAAUGCGAUAAGUAGUGUGAAUUGCAGAAUUCAGUGAAUCAUCGAAUCUUUGAACGCACAUUGCGCCCCUUGGUAUCCCGAGGGGCAUGCCUGUUCGAGCGUCAUUUCACCACUCAAGCCUGGCUUGGUGUUGGGCGACGUCCCCUUUGGGGACGCGCCUCGAAACGCUCGGCGGCGUGGCACCGGCUUUAAGCGUAGCAGAAUCUUUCGCUUUGGAAGUCGGGGCCCCGUCUGCCGGAAGACCUACUCGCAAGGUUGACCUCGGAUCAGGCAGGGAUACCCGCUGAACUUAAGCAUAUCAAUAAGCGGAGGA
This 329-nucleotide unclassified non-coding RNA is filed under the name soil metagenome. Its description in RNAcentral is "partial contains 5.8S ribosomal RNA, internal transcribed spacer 2, and large subunit ribosomal RNA". The stretch from base 1 to 120 matches the Rfam family "5.8S ribosomal RNA", at positions 35 to 154 of the family's 154-position model. The record is from RNAcentral.